UACGAAGGGGGCUAGCGUUGUUCGGAAUUACUGGGCGUAAAGCGCACGUAGGCGGUUCUAUAAGUCAGGGGUGAAAUCCCGGGGCUCAACCUCGGAACUGCCUUUGAUACUGUAGAUCUCGAGUCCGAUAGAGGUGAGUGGAAUUCCGCGUGUAGCAGUGAAAUGCGUAGAGAUGCGGAGGAACACCGAUGGCGAAGGCAGCCCCCUGGGCUAACACUGACGCUCAGGCACGAAAGCGUGGGGAGCAAACAGG
This 253-nucleotide ribosomal RNA is filed under the name uncultured bacterium. RNAcentral's name for it is "partial 16S ribosomal RNA". It matches the Rfam family "Bacterial small subunit ribosomal RNA", at positions 524 to 776 of the family's 1533-position model. The record is from RNAcentral.